Molecule: ribosomal RNA, 494 nt
Filed under: uncultured bacterium
Lineage: Bacteria
Description: partial 16S ribosomal RNA
Rfam family: Bacterial small subunit ribosomal RNA
Source: RNAcentral
GACGAACGCUGGCGGCGUGCCUAAUACAUGCAAGUAGAACGCUGAAGGAGGAGCUUGCUUCUCUGGAUGAGUUGCGAACGGGUGAGUAACGCGUAGGUAACCUGCCUGGUAGCGGGGGAUAACUAUUGGAAACGAUAGCUAAUACCGCAUAAUAGCAGUUAUUGCAUGAUAACUGUUUGAAAGGUGCAAUUGCACCACUACCAGAUGGACCUGCGUUGUAUUAGCUAGUUGGUGGGGUAACGGCUCACCAAGGCGACGAUACAUAGCCGACCUGAGAGGGUGAUCGGCCACACUGGGACAGAGACACGGCCCCAACUCCUACGGGGGGCAGCAGUAGGGAAUCUUGGGAAAUGGACGGGGGUCUGACCGGGCAACCCCGCGGGAGUGAAAAAGGUUUUGGGAUCGAAAAGCUCUGUUUUAAGGGAAAAACGGGGGGGGGAGGGGAAAGUCCACACUGGGGCGGUAUUUAACCAAAAAGGGACGGCUAACUACGG